This is a long non-coding RNA of Penaeus indicus, 1002 nucleotides long. RefSeq lists it as uncharacterized. NCBI's taxonomy places the organism in Eukaryota, Metazoa, Arthropoda, Malacostraca, Decapoda, Penaeidae. The record is from RefSeq and is a predicted model, not a curated record. The transcript is spliced from 10 exons.
AUACCCAAUAAACCCAAAUCAAACACACAUACAGAUAAAUACACACACAAAAAGACAUAAGGAAACAUACAGACGUAGAAUACUUUAGAAUUAUUUAGUUGAAAGAAAAAAAAUUAACUAAAAAAAGAAAAAAAAAAUCAUAAAUGAAACUCGAACGCGCCUCUCGGUCAUUCCCUCGACGUCGCUGAAGGAGAUGGACGUCUUUGUUAUUUUUCCCUCAAUUAUUGCGUUUUCUUGGGUAGGAGAUUGGUCCUGUUCAUUUGGUGAAUGACGGAGAGCUCGGUAGUUUUUUGAUGGAGCUGGUGUGGUUGCAGUGCCAACAUGACUUGUGGGGAAGGUGCCAGGAGUGGUACUUUUAUAGGGAAUGGUUGACCUGAUGUUUCUGUCAAAAGUUAAAGGAUGUGUGUUCUGGUAUUUGGUUUCAAGGCUGACCUCAACCAGCCAAUGUGAACAUGGCUUGAAGAUGUGGUGAAAGGAAAUGUGCAAGCAGAAUUGGCACAAUAUAUAUAAAAUGGCAUAAGGAAGCUGUUGAGGUUUUGAUGCUGCCAACAUGAGCUAAAUGCAAGGUGUCCAGGGCUUAUGGUCAAAUUGAAGCACAUGGCUUGUCUGGAUGUGAAGUUUAACUUUUGCUUUGGUAUUUGAAGAUCACAAGCUGAUGGUAUUGACCAGUGACCGUGGACAUGAAGUUAAAGGUAAGACCUCAUUUUUCUAUUGGAUAUAAACUUUGAAUUACAUUAUAAAGUGAUUGUGUACAGGAUGAAAACCUUUAUUCAGAGCAUUGGGUUAUGAAAACCAUGAUUACGUUUUGACAUCUGAAAUGCUUCUUGUAGGAUUUCUCUGUGAAUCUGGCUUUGAGUCUAAACUUGUUCCUUGUUCCUGUUUUCAGAUGAUUGUGAGAAAAUAAGCAGACAGUGUUGCUAUUCGCACACGACCAUCAACAGUGCUACAAGGAUGGUCCAGAAGUAGCAGUUAGGUUGCCAUCAUUGACUGCAAAUAAACAUU